Molecule: ribosomal RNA, 413 nt
Filed under: Lacticaseibacillus paracasei
Lineage: Bacteria; Bacillati; Bacillota; Bacilli; Lactobacillales; Lactobacillaceae
Description: bacterial SSU rRNA
Rfam family: Bacterial small subunit ribosomal RNA
Source: RNAcentral
UGGCGGACGGGUGAGUAACACGUGGGUAACCUGCCCUUAAGUGGGGGAUAACAUUUGGAAACAGAUGCUAAUACCGCAUAGAUCCAAGAACCGCAUGGUUCUUGGCUGAAAGAUGGCGUAAGCUAUCGCUUUUGGAUGGACCCGCGGCGUAUUAGCUAGUUGGUGAGGUAAUGGCUCACCAAGGCGAUGAUACGUAGCCGAACUGAGAGGUUGAUCGGCCACAUUGGGACUGAGACACGGCCCAAACUCCUACGGGAGGCAGCAGUAGGGAAUCUUCCACAAUGGACGCAAGUCUGAUGGAGCAACGCCGCGUGAGUGAAGAAGGCUUUCGGGUCGUAAAACUCUGUUGUUGGAGAAGAAUGGUCGGCAGAGUAACUGUUGUCGGCGUGACGGUAUCCAACCAGAAAGCCACG